AUCUGCUUGGUUUGGUCGUCACUCAUCACCUUAGUCCGAAGCUAGCACAAAACAUACCAGAAUUAUUUACCUUGAUUUUUUCAAAAUCAUUACAUUUCCUCUGAACAUUUGCCACGAAACAAGUCCAGGCACAGAGGAAAUGUACAGGGUGAGAAUUUGUGGCGCUGUCUCGCUGUCACUGUAGCCUUCUCCCCUGUUCGUCCUCUCUUCCCCCCAAAAGGCCACGAGCACAGGCUGUCCUUGUGAGCUCCUCCUCCAACCUCCUAAAGAAUUGAGCAGGAGGGGGGCGGAGUAAUGGAGGCAUCAAUGCCGCUUGCGGAGUACGCCCCCACCUUUCCGUGUGGUGCUUCAUCCAUCGCCUCCGGCUCCGCGAAGCAAGUUGACUUGUAGACAUGGAUUUGGGAUCUCUGGUUUGCGCUUCAGAUCUGACCGGCUUCUCGCCGCCCUCCUGUCACUGUAAUCUUUCGUCAGAGUUUUGACUGGCGAGGCUGCCAUCUCUUUACUACUGGUUUAACAGUGUGCUAAUGAGGCAGGUAAAUGGAAGAUUUGUCUACAUCUCUUCAGACGUCAGAUGGAUUAAGAUCGCUACCCUGUGUAGGAUAAGAGAUUUCAGUAAUGCCUUUUGAGCUAAGGUGUUACUAUCCAGUCUUCGUCAGUCCAAUAUUUGAGUUAAGCUCAUUUUCAAGUUAUCAAAGGAUGCUUAACAAAUGCAAUCAGCUUUUAACUCGAAUAUUGUGGAGGUGCCUCCCCUCCGCAUUGGGUGAAUGGGUGGAUGAUUGAGCAAGGCUGCUUCAGCUUCAGCUCCAAACAAAAAGAAGAAACAGGCAGGUUCAAUAUGGAAUUGUCCAAUUCCAUUGUCCUCUCUGCUGCGCUGCACACUCGCAUAAACAAAAAAAAGCUUGGAGUCAGUAUUAUAUGUAUGUUGGGACUAGGGUCGCCACCUGCUUAAUUUCAGGUUUGGGCCCAUCCAUCCAGCAUCAUUAGUCCAUGGCAUUCAAACUCACGUACUGCUACUUGACAGUUUCCUUCAUUUUGUUUUGCUCAACAGCAUGUACUACCACUGUAUAAACUACUAGGCGUGCAUCUGAUCAGGCACUAGAAAUCAAGGGAGUUACAUGGGUAACUGAAACUAGUGAGAUGCUAGUGCUUGUUGCCAUUGCUGGCAUGGGGCACUGUGGCCAUUCACAUUCACCAAAUCCCAGAUGAGCCAAACAAAUAGGGCCCUCCUCCUUGUUCUAAACAAGCAAUGAGAGAACGACAUUGCUUUCAUCACCCACUAACUGCUCAAGCAAAUUGCUCCACCAAUUUGCCUGGAUGCACUUUCUGGGGAAUUGCCGACUGAAAAGCUAGGGCAGAUUUUGGGGACAAUUCAGUUGAGGAAUAAAGAGAACCACCAUAUCAAAACGACAGGCUUACAUAUAGCAUACUGAUGAAGAUUCAUGAAAAUUUAUUCUUGUUUUGCACUCUACAUUGAUCCUUGGUCCAGCUGGUCAUUAAGAUAUGGAUUGGCACGGUCCAAGAUAUAGCCCUGCUCAGAUUCCCUGAUAAAAUAAUGCUUUGCGGUUGGGUCCGAUCCAAGUUGUUUAUGCAGGUCUAGAACUCAUGAUUUCGUGAGCUCUGAGGGUACUAACCUGAGUUUAAUGCAGCAAUCAUCUCGCCCCCGAAAGAGUGAGCAUAUAUUUCUACUCACAGAAUUUUGUUGCUACCGUUGGACCUUGAAAUAUACUGUUUCUGAAGCUUUUUGGAAACCCUGACAUGAUGCUUCUCAUCUCUUCAGCUUUCCUACCAUCUUUCUUUCUUUGAGCAGGGCAGCGUUUGCAUUGCUACCAAGGUUCUCACAACUGAUGUAUAGUAUUUUUCUACAAAGUGAAAUAGUUUUUUUUUCUACCAGGUGAAAGUACUUGCAAGAGAAGCAAACACAUGAAGAAAGUAAACACAAAAAAAGGUAGUUAGGCGAGGAUACAAUAAAGAUACAGGAACAUGGGCUAACAUGGACCAGGGCUACUUUCAUGCCAUUGCAAGAAAUCCCCUUUGCAGAUGAGCCAUGCGAUCCUUCUGGAUUACACAUAAGCUCCUGCUUUGAUUGCAACCAUUUCAGUAUCUGUCAUCAUCUGCGUGGCAGUGCAGCCUCUGUUUUUGCUUUCAUUUUUCUUUGGAGUAGAAAAACAGUGGUGAGAUAGUCCAAACAGGAAGCAACCAUGUUACAUUACACCAGUAAAAUCAUCUGCUAGUGGCUCUUGCGCAAAGCAGAUGGCAUCCUACGAGUAGAAAGCUACCCACUUCAUUUCAGUAAAUCAUUUUCAUUGAGACCAUACGC
Molecule: long non-coding RNA, 2317 nt
Organism: Panicum hallii
Lineage: Eukaryota; Viridiplantae; Streptophyta; Magnoliopsida; Poales; Poaceae
Exons: 3
Source: RefSeq, a predicted model, not a curated record